CCUACUUUUUCUCCGCCACCUGGGCCGUGAUUGGGCGCGACCUGGGCUCCUGGGUGCUCAUUGGCGCCGUGAAGUGCUCGUCACCGCCCCCUCCUGCCCCUUCAUGCAUGCGCGGAGGCCGCCUGCUAGCAAGAGUUUUGCCCAGGCUGGAGUGCAACGGAGGAGAUUUCAGCUCACCUCAACCUCCACCUCUCGGAUUCAAGCGAUUUUCCUCCCUCAGACUCCUGAGUAGCUGGGAUUACAGGCAUGUGCCACCACACCCGGCUAGUUUUGUAUUUUUCAGUAGAGACAGAGUUUCUCCAUGUUGGUCAGGCUGGUCUCGAACUCCUGACCUCAGGUGAUCCGCCCGCCUUGGCCUCCCACAGUGCUGGGAUUAUAGGUGUGAGCCACUGUGCCCAGCUGAAAUAUAAUAGUUUUUAUGUUGACUUUGUAUUCCACAAUCUUUAUUUCUUUUAUUUAUUUAUUUAUUUAUUUAUUUAUGUAUUUAUUUAUUUAUUUUGAGACAGGGUCUCACUCUGUCACCCAGACUGGAGUGCAAUGGCACGAUCUCAGCUCACCGCAAACUCUGCCUCCCAGGCUCAAGCGAUUCUCCUGCCUCAGCCUCCUGAGUAGCUGGGAUUACAGGCAUGUGCCACCAUGCCCGGCUAAUUUUUGUAUUUUUGGUAGAGACAGGGUUUCACCAUAUGGGCCAUGCUGGUCUCGAACUCCUGACCUCAAAUGAUCCACCUGCCUCAGCCUCUCAAUGUGCUGGGAUUACAGGUGUGAGCUACUGCGCCCAGCUGUCCCACAAUCUUUCUAUUAGUUCUAAUAGCUUAUUUUGAUAAAUUCCUUAGAGUUUUUUAUAUACACAAUUAUGUUUUCUGCAAAUAAAGACAAUUUUCCUUCUUCCUUUCCAGUCUGU
Molecule: long non-coding RNA, 901 nt
Filed under: Homo sapiens (human)
Lineage: Eukaryota; Metazoa; Chordata; Mammalia; Primates; Hominidae
Description: HSALNT0304313
Source: RNAcentral